RNAcentral lists this ribosomal RNA (430 nucleotides) under uncultured bacterium. Its description in RNAcentral is "bacterial SSU rRNA". It matches the Rfam family "Bacterial small subunit ribosomal RNA", at positions 355 to 776 of the family's 1533-position model. The record is from RNAcentral.
UGGGGAAUAUUGGGCAAUGGAGGAAACUCUGACCCAGCGACGCCGCGUGAGGGAUGAAGGCCUUCGGGUUGUAAACCUCUGUCAAGGGGAAAGAAGUGUACGAGGGCUAAUAUCCUUUGUACUUGACGGUACCCCUAAAGGAAGCACCGGCUAACUCCGUGCCAGCAGCCGCGGUAAUACGUAGGGUGCGAGCGUUAAUCGGAAUUACUGGGCGUAAAGCGUGCGCAGGCGGAUAUGUAAGUUAGAAGUGAAAUCCCCGGGCUCAACCUGGGAAUGGCUUUUAAGACUGCGUAUCUAGAGUUUGUCAGAGGGGGGUGGAAUUCCAAGUGUAGCAGUGAAAUGCGUAGAGAUUUGGAGGAACACCAAUGGCGAAGGCAACCCCCUGGGAUAAAACUGACGCUCAUGCACGAAAGCGUGGGUAGCAAACAGG